UACGUAGGGGGCAAGCGUUGUCCGGAAUCAUUGGGCGUAAAGAGCGUGUAGGCGGCUCGAUAAGUCUGCUGUGAAAGUCCAGGGCUCAACCCUGGAAGGCCGGUGGAAACUGUCGGGCUAGAGUCCGGAAGAGGAGAAUGGAAUUCCUGGUGUAGCGGUGAAAUGCGCAGAUAUCGGGAAGAACACCCGUGGCGAAGGCGGUUCUCUGGGACGGUACUGACGCUGAGACGCGAAAGCGUGGGGAGCGAACAGG
Molecule: ribosomal RNA, 253 nt
Filed under: uncultured bacterium
Lineage: Bacteria
Description: partial 16S ribosomal RNA
Rfam family: Bacterial small subunit ribosomal RNA
Source: RNAcentral